RNAcentral lists this ribosomal RNA (253 nucleotides) under uncultured bacterium. RNAcentral's name for it is "partial 16S ribosomal RNA". It matches the Rfam family "Bacterial small subunit ribosomal RNA", at positions 524 to 776 of the family's 1533-position model. The record is from RNAcentral.
UACGUAGGGUGCGAGCGUUGUCCGGAAUUAUUGGGCGUAAAGAGCUCGUAGGCGGUUUGUUGCGUCGGCUGUGAAAUCCCGAGGCUCAACCUCGGGUCUGCAGUCGAUACGAGCAAACUAGAGUGUUGCAGGGGAGACUGGAAUUCCUGGUGUAGCGGUGAAAUGCGCAGAUAUCAGGAGGAACACCAAUGGCGAAGGCAGAUCUCUGGGCCGUAACUGACGCUGAGGAGCGAAAGCAUGGGGAGCGAACAGG